Molecule: ribosomal RNA, 307 nt
Filed under: uncultured Leuconostoc sp.
Lineage: Bacteria; Bacillati; Bacillota; Bacilli; Lactobacillales; Lactobacillaceae
Description: bacterial SSU rRNA
Rfam family: Bacterial small subunit ribosomal RNA
Source: RNAcentral
GUAGGGAAUCUUCCACAAUGGGCGAAAGCCUGAUGGAGCAACGCCGCGUGUGUGAUGAAGGCUUUCGGGUCGUAAAGCUCUGUUGUAUGGGAAGAACAGAUAGAAUAGGGAAUGAUUUUAGUUUGACGGUACCAUACCAGAAAGGCACGGCUAAAUACGUGCCAGCAGCCGCGGUAAUACGUAUGUCCCGAGCGUUAUCCGGAUUUAUUGGGCGUAAAGCGAGCGCAGACGGUUUAUUAAGUCUGAUGUGAAAGCCCGGAGCUCAACUCCGGAAUGGCAUUGGAAACUGGUUAACUUGAGUGCAGUA